UACGUAGGGGGCAAGCGUUGUCCGGAAUUAUUGGGCGUAAAGCGCGCGCAGGCGGUCAUUUAAGUCUGGUGUUUAAUCCCGGGGCUCAACCCCGGAUCGCACUGGAAACUGGGUGACUUGAGUGCAGAAGAGGAGAGUGGAAUUCCACGUGUAGCGGUGAAAUGCGUAGAUAUGUGGAGGAACACCAGUGGCGAAGGCGACUCUCUGGGCUGUAACUGACGCUGAGGCGCGAAAGCGUGGGGAGCAAACGGG
Molecule: ribosomal RNA, 252 nt
Filed under: uncultured bacterium
Lineage: Bacteria
Description: partial 16S ribosomal RNA
Rfam family: Bacterial small subunit ribosomal RNA
Source: RNAcentral